GUCUCCGUAGCUCAGCCCGGUUAGAGUACCGCUUUCAUAAGGCGGCUGUCGGGUGUUCAAAUCACCCCGGAGACA
This 75-nucleotide transfer RNA is filed under the name Candidatus Woesearchaeota archaeon. Its description in RNAcentral is "tRNA-Met". It matches the Rfam family "tRNA". From Rfam's summary of the family: Transfer RNA (tRNA) molecules are approximately 80 nucleotides in length. Their secondary structure includes four short double-helical elements and three loops (D, anti-codon, and T loops). Lineage: Archaea; Nanobdellati; Candidatus Woesearchaeota. The record is from RNAcentral.